Erinaceus europaeus (western European hedgehog) is the source of this 681-nucleotide long non-coding RNA. RefSeq lists it as uncharacterized. NCBI's taxonomy places the organism in Eukaryota, Metazoa, Chordata, Mammalia, Eulipotyphla, Erinaceidae. The transcript has 3 exons. The record is from RefSeq and is a predicted model, not a curated record.
CACCACCUGUGGGGCUGCAGGGCUGAGUGCCCAGGCCAGACACAAUAGCCAUGAGUCAUGGUAUGGAUAAACUGGCCCUGUUGGAGCAGCGCAAAGUGAUCCAUCAAACAGUCGAAACUGGGCACUCCCAGGGAGAGUGCAGGCCCUCCCCUUUUCUCAUCUCACGCCCCUUAGCUAAGGAGCAAAAGGUAGGGCUGUACCAACACACAAGUGGAAGGAAGGCAGAUGAAAUUUCGGUCCGCCCAUCUGCUCCUACUGCACUGCGUCUCCCCUCCAUUUCCUCUGUUUGCCUCUCGCAUCCACAACCUCUAUGAAUACACAAACUGCAGUGUGAAAGAUGCAGAUCAUGGCAUAUGUUGACAUAAAGGUCGUCCAGCCCCAUCUUCCUACUACUGCUUGAACUAUAUCCUUAAAGCAUAGUGCCUCAAUCACUGCUUUGGGAGCUGCUCUCUUCCCUGAUUCAGCUUUCUGAUCCUUUUCUCAGCCAUGACAUCAUCUCCCCAGUGGGCCAGAAAUCUGGGGAAGUGGAGCUCCAGGACACAUUGGUGGAUUCGUCUGCCCAAGGAAGUAUGGUUGGCAUUAUGUUAUCGUCUGGAAUCUGGUGGCUGAAAAAAGAGUUAACAUAUAAAGCCAAACAAAUUGUUGACUAACCAUGAACCUAAAGGCAAGAAUAUUGCAGAU